UUAAGGUGUGUUUUUCUGCUGUAAAUAUGGACAUACAUUAUUUGUGUAUGCUUUAGGUGGGCAUGAAGUUAGUAUCAGAUUGCCCAUAAAGAACCUACAUACAUGG
Rhododendron vialii is the source of this 106-nucleotide small nucleolar RNA. Lineage: Eukaryota; Viridiplantae; Streptophyta; Magnoliopsida; Ericales; Ericaceae. The record is from RefSeq and is a predicted model, not a curated record.